AUUGAACGCUGGCGGCAGGCCUAACACAUGCAAGUCGAGCGGUAGAGCGAAGCUUGCUUCUCUUGAGAGCGGCGGACGGGUGAGUAAUGCCUAGGAAUCUGCCUGGUAGUGGGGGAUAACGUUCGGAAACGGACGCUAAUACCGCAUACGUCCUACGGGAGAAAGCAGGGGACCUUCGGGCCUUGCGCUAUCGGAUGAGCCUAGGUCGGAUUAGCUAGUUGGUGGGGUAAUGGCUCACCAAGGCGACGAUCCGUAACUGGUCUGAGAGGAUGAUCAGUCACACUGGAACUGAGACACGGUCCAGACUCCUACGGGAGGCAGCAGUGGGGAAUAUUGGACAAUGGGCGAAAGCCUGAUCCAGCCAUGCCGCGUGUGUGAAGAAGGUCUUCGGAUUGUAAAGCACUUUAAGUUGGGAGGAAGGGCAGUAAAUUAAUACGUUGCUGUUUUGACGUUACCGACAGAAUAAGCACCGGCUAACUCUGUG
RNAcentral lists this ribosomal RNA (484 nucleotides) under uncultured bacterium. RNAcentral describes it as "partial 16S ribosomal RNA". It matches the Rfam family "Bacterial small subunit ribosomal RNA", at positions 30 to 507 of the family's 1533-position model. The record is from RNAcentral.